Molecule: ribosomal RNA, 519 nt
Filed under: uncultured eukaryote
Lineage: Eukaryota
Description: SSU rRNA
Rfam family: Eukaryotic small subunit ribosomal RNA
Source: RNAcentral
AGGGCACCACCAGGAGUGGAGCCUGCGGCUUAAUUUGACUCAACACGGGAAAUCUCACCAGGCCCGGACACUGGAAGGAUUGACAGAUUGAGAGCUCUUUCUCGAUUCGGUGGGUGGUGGUGCAUGGCCGUUCUUAGUUGGUGGAGUGAUUUGUCUGGUUAAUUCCGAUAACGAACGAGACUCUGUCCUGCUAAAUAGUUCCCGCGUCCUUUGUUGCGCGGGAAAUUCUUCUUAGAGGGACUGGCGGCGUCUAGCCGCACGAGAUUGGGCAAUAACAGGUCUGUGAUGCCCUUAGAUGUUCUGGGCCGCACGCGCGCUACACUGAAGGGAUCAGCGUGUCUUCCCUUCCCGAGAGGGACGGGUAACCCGCUGAACCCCCUUCGUGGUAGGGAUCGGGGCUUGCAAUUAUUCCCCGUGAACCAGGAAUUCCCAGUAAGCGCAAGUCAUAAGCUUGCGUUGAUUACGUCCCUGCCCUUUGUACACACCGCCCGUCGCUACUACCGAUUGAACGUUUUAGUG